This is a transfer RNA of Camelus ferus (Wild Bactrian camel), 72 nucleotides long. It matches the Rfam family "tRNA". From Rfam's summary of the family: Transfer RNA (tRNA) molecules are approximately 80 nucleotides in length. Their secondary structure includes four short double-helical elements and three loops (D, anti-codon, and T loops). NCBI's taxonomy places the organism in Eukaryota, Metazoa, Chordata, Mammalia, Artiodactyla, Camelidae. The record is from Rfam.
GGGAAUGUAACUCAAUGGUAGAGCACAUGCUGAGCAUGCGUGAGGUCCUGGGUUCAAUCCCCAGUACCUCCA